GAAUUGCAAAUUCGAAAACGUACCCAAAAGG
Molecule: transfer RNA, 31 nt
Filed under: Lucasium stenodactylus (pale-snouted ground gecko)
Lineage: Eukaryota; Metazoa; Chordata; Lepidosauria; Squamata; Diplodactylidae
Description: partial tRNA-Cys
Source: RNAcentral